UACGUAGGUGGCAAGCGUUGUCCGGAAUUAUUGGGCGUAAAGCGCGCGCAGGCGGUCCUUUAAGUCUGAUGUGAAAGCCCACGGCUCAACCGUGGAGGGUCAUUGGGAACUGGGGGACUUGAGUGCAGGAGAGGAGAGCGGAAUUCCACGUGUAGCGGUGAAAUGCGUAGAGAUGUGGAGGAACACCAGUGGCGAAGGCGGCUCUCUGGCCUGUAACUGACGCUGAGGCGCGAAAGCGUGGGGAGCAAACAGGAUUAGAAACCCUGGUAGUCC
RNAcentral lists this ribosomal RNA (273 nucleotides) under uncultured Bacillus sp. Its description in RNAcentral is "partial 16S ribosomal RNA". It matches the Rfam family "Bacterial small subunit ribosomal RNA", at positions 524 to 796 of the family's 1533-position model. Lineage: Bacteria; Bacillati; Bacillota; Bacilli; Caryophanales; Bacillaceae. The record is from RNAcentral.